AGGACGAACGCUGGCGGCGUGCUUAACACAUGCAAGUCGAGCGGAAAGGCCUUUCGGGGUACUCGAGCGGUGAACGGGUGAGUAACACGUGAGUAAUCUGCCCAUCGCUUCAGGAUAGCCAUCGGAAACGGUGAUUAAUACUGGAUAUGACAUUCCUUCGCAUGUUGGGGUGUGGAAAGUUUUUUCGGCGGUGGAUGUGCUCGCGGCCUAUCAGCUUGUUGGUGGGGUAAUGGCCUACCAAGGCUUUGACGGGUAGCCGGCCUGAGAGGGUGACCCGGCCAACU
Molecule: ribosomal RNA, 284 nt
Filed under: uncultured soil bacterium
Lineage: Bacteria
Description: partial 16S ribosomal RNA
Rfam family: Bacterial small subunit ribosomal RNA
Source: RNAcentral